UACGGGGGGGGCAAGCGUUGUUCGGAAUUACUGGGCGUAAAGCGUGCGCAGGCGGUUCGUUGUGUCGGCGGUGAAAGCCCCGGGCUCAACCUGGGAAUGGCCGUUGAAACUGGCGAACUGGAGUGUGGCAGAGGGGGGUGGAAUUCCGCGUGUAGCAGUGAAAUGCGUAGAGAUGCGGAGGAACACCGAUGGCGAAGGCAGCCCCCUGGGCUAACACUGACGCUCAGGCACGAAAGCGUGGGGAGCAAACAGG
RNAcentral lists this ribosomal RNA (253 nucleotides) under uncultured bacterium. RNAcentral describes it as "partial 16S ribosomal RNA". It matches the Rfam family "Bacterial small subunit ribosomal RNA", at positions 524 to 776 of the family's 1533-position model. The record is from RNAcentral.